Molecule: long non-coding RNA, 1147 nt
Organism: Camelus dromedarius (Arabian camel)
Lineage: Eukaryota; Metazoa; Chordata; Mammalia; Artiodactyla; Camelidae
Exons: 3
Source: RefSeq, a predicted model, not a curated record
CCGAGAGCCUCACCAGCUGUUUUUCCAUGUCCUCAUCCCGAGGAGAGCUAACGAAGAUCGUGUUCUGCAUCAGACCCACAAAGCACCAGAAGGUGUCUGACUCAUCCAGGACCUCGGCCAGGAUGGGCGCCACCAGGAGGCAGCAGAAUGUCAAAGAUGCCAGCCUCGGCCUGUGUGGCUUUAUCACCCUGAGGACCACCCAGUGGGAGACAGAGACACUCAGCGGGAGGCUGGUCCACAGCUGGUGUGAGCCAAGCAAGCUUAGGCUCGGUGGAUGCUCAGGGGGUGGAGACCUUUGCUGGCACCCUUGGGAGGGGGCCUAUGGGCUUCCCUGGGUGGCUGGGACCAUAACAGGCCCACUGAUGUUCCCUAAGGAUGCUCUGAUUCGGGGGCAUUGAUUGUAUGAACCUGGAAGAAAGACCCCUGACCCCAGCAGAAGCUGCUGGUCCACUUCCCAGAGGGUCAGCUGAGGCCUGAGAGUGAACUGCACAUUUCGCCAGAACGCUCUGUGCUCCUCAGGGGUCAUGGAGAGCCUGGCACGGAGCAGAGCGCCCGCCGGGGUCAGCCAGGCACACGCUCCAGGUCUGCGGGGCGUCCCUCCCAGCCCGGCUCGCGGUUGGCAACUAGGGCCGCUGGCAAACCCUCCAGCUCCCACUGACUUGCAGGGGCGGGGGCUGAGGUGGGAUAGGAGUCCAAGGCUUUCCCAGCGUGAACACGGCCUCACGCGUCCCAGCAUCCCAGCGUCCCGGCGGAGAGCUCACCGCAGCCCCCGCUAGGCGAGGCCCGAACAGACCUCAGCAGUCCAAGCUCCCCGCCGACCCCGAGGCCCCGCUGCCACCCCGGCGUUGAGCGGUGGGAUGUCAGCGCCUCGUUAAGUCUGUUGAAAAAGAAUUCUAAAACCUUGACAUGCGAGCUAAAGAGAGCCAGUCCCGGGGCCGGGCGCUGGGGUAAUGACGGCACUUAUCCUGCCCCAUCGCUCACGGUCCUGGGAGACCCAUUUUCCAAGGAAACUAUGGGUCACGGAACAUAUUAUCAAUGCUGAAUUGCGCCUCAAAUUGCCUUUCCAAAUGGCAUUUCCCUCCGCGGCUCGGGGGGUGGGGGUUUCCCUCCGCGGCUCGAGGGGCCCGGCCAGGCGCCUCGGUCACCU